This 326-nucleotide ribosomal RNA is filed under the name uncultured bacterium. RNAcentral's name for it is "bacterial SSU rRNA". It matches the Rfam family "Bacterial small subunit ribosomal RNA", at positions 28 to 334 of the family's 1533-position model. The record is from RNAcentral.
GAUGAACGCUGGCGGCGUGGCUUAACACAUGCAAGUCGAACGAAGCACUUAAACUUGAUUUCUUCGGAUUGAUUGUUCUGUGACUGAGUGGCGGACGGGUGAGUAACGCGUGGGUAACCUGCCUCAUACAGGGGGAUAACAGUUGGAAACGACUGCUAAUACCGCAUAAGCGCACGGUAUCGCAUGAUACAGUGUGAAAAACUCCGGUGGUAUGAGAUGGACCCGCGUCUGAUUAGCUAGUUGGUGGGGUAACGGCCUACCAAGGCGACGAUCAGUAGCCGACCUGAGAGGGCGACCGGCCACACUGGGACUGAGACACGGCCCAG